Molecule: transfer RNA, 359 nt
Filed under: uncultured Microcystis sp.
Lineage: Bacteria; Bacillati; Cyanobacteriota; Cyanophyceae; Chroococcales; Microcystaceae
Description: partial miscellaneous RNA
Rfam family: tRNA (bases 135-208)
Source: RNAcentral
AAGGGAGACCUAAUUCGGGUAUAAGACGAAAAAAAAGUAGUCCCAACCAAGAAUCAAUCCCAAAAGGUCGGAGCGAGGCGAAAUUGGCUUUCAAACUAGGUUCUGGGUUCAUAAAAGACCUGAAUCAGGAACAAGGGCUAUUAGCUCAGGUGGUUAGAGCGCACCCCUGAUAAGGGUGAGGUCCCUGGUUCGAGUCCAGGAUGGCCCACCUGCACAGGUGGCAAAAACAAGAGAAGCUCCGAAUCAGCACCUUAUCUUACUUACAUAGUAAGAGAGAAUGCUGGCUCUGAGUAAAGAGUCCAGAGGAACCUUGAAAACUGCAUAGAGCUAGGUGAAAAAGCCAAAAAAGAAGACCGCAA